GGAAGGAUCAUUGACGAUUGGGAAGGAAGGAGAGUGAAUAGCCGGUGGGUUUUCUUGAAGGAUUUGUAAGAAAACCCCUCCGGAAGAAUAAACUAAUGAUGGAUUAAGAUUAAAAUACAACUUUUAACAAUGGAUCUCUUGGCUCUUGCAUCGAUGAAGAACGCAGUGAAACGCGAUAGCUGAUGCGAAUUGCAUAUAUCUGUGAGUCAUCGAGUCUUUGAACGCAACUUGCACUUGGCUUCGUGCCGAGUAUGGCUGUAAGAGCGCGGGAAUGGCAUGAUGAAAGGAUAAUUCAGAUGGAUUAUUCGUUUAUUGAUUGAAGAAAAGACUAUUUUCUUUGAAAAGCAACCCGCAAAGGGAUCGAGGAGUAGGGAGAAGUAGGUUAGGUUUAGGAUUAUGCUUAAGCUUAAUGUACAGCCAAUACUCGAACCCGAGGGAAAGUGUGGAGUGGGAAUGUGCACAUGAACCCCCCCCACACACUUACUGCUCCGCCUCUUAUCAGGCAAGACUACCCGCUGAACUUAAGCAUAUCAGUAAGCGGAGGACAAGAAACUAACCAGGAUUCCCUCAGUAACGGCGAGUGAAGCGGGAAAAGCUCAAAUUUAAAAUCGCGGCUCUUGGAGUCGUGAAUUGUAGUUUAAAGAAUAAUAGGCGAGAGAGAAAAUCGAGCCAAGUCCGCUGGAACGCGGCACUGUAAAGGGUGAUAGUCCCGUUGGCAUGAUUUGAACUCAUUGUGCUUGUUGUUCAAAGAGUCGUGUUGAUUGGGAUUUCAGCACAAAUGGGAGGUAAAUUUCUUCCAAGGCUAAAUAUUGGCAAGAGACCGAUAGCAAACAAGUACCGUGAGGGAAAGAUGAAAAGAACUCUGAAAAGAGAGUUAAAAGUACGUGAAAUUGUUAAAAGGGAAACGAUUAAUGAGGGCGAGAUUAAUAUUACUCAAAGAUCGAUUGGUCAAGUAUUUAAUAUUAAUAGACGACGACUGUGUUUGUAAUAGGAAAAGGCUCAUUGGAAGGUACCAACUUGUUGGGUUAAGACAAUGGGAGAUACUAUUAUGUGUACAGGGAUUAAGAAGGAGUAUAAGAGUAGUGAAUGGAUUGGGAUAUUUCUUAAGGGUAUAUCUUGAAAGAAUUGAACCUCUGGUACACCCGUCUAGUCGUUAGCAAUCAUUAAUCGACCCGUCUUGAAACACGGACCAAGGAGUCUAACAUUCGUGCGAGUCUUUGGGCUUUACACCUUUAGGCGAAGCGAAAGCGAUUCGUUGGAGGCGCUUGACGUCGCACAACGGCCCACAUUAGCAGAUGCUAGUGUGAGGCAGCACGGCUGUUGGGACCCGAAAGAUGGUGAACUAUGCCUGAAUAGGGUCAAGUCAGAGGAAACUCUGAUGGAGGCUCGUAGCGGUUCUGACGUGCAAAUCGAUCGUCGAAUUUGGGUAUAGGGGCGAAAGACUAAUCGAACCAUCUAGUAGCUGGUUCCCUC
RNAcentral lists this unclassified non-coding RNA (1473 nucleotides) under uncultured fungus. Its description in RNAcentral is "sequence contains 18S rRNA gene, ITS1, 5.8S rRNA gene, ITS2, 28S rRNA gene". The stretch from base 489 to 1473 matches the Rfam family "Eukaryotic large subunit ribosomal RNA", at positions 1 to 961 of the family's 3401-position model. The record is from RNAcentral. Lineage: Eukaryota; Fungi.